CAGCCGCCGCGGGAACACGUAGGGGGCAAGCGUUGUCCGGAAUUAUUGGGCGUAAAGCGCACGCAGGCGGUUUCUUAAGUCUGAUGUGAAAGCCCCCGGCUCAACCGGGGAGGGUCAUUGGAAACUGGGAAACUUGAGUGCAGAAGAGGAGAGUGGAAUUCCACGUGUAGCGGUGAAAUGCGUAGAGAUGUGGAGGAACACCAGUGGCGAAGGCGACUCUCUGGUCUGUAACUGACGCUGAGGAGCGAAAGCGUGGGGAGCGAACAGGAUUAGAGACCCCAGUAGUCCCUGUCUCUUAUAC
Molecule: ribosomal RNA, 301 nt
Filed under: uncultured bacterium
Lineage: Bacteria
Description: partial 16S ribosomal RNA
Rfam family: Bacterial small subunit ribosomal RNA
Source: RNAcentral